Molecule: ribosomal RNA, 461 nt
Filed under: uncultured bacterium
Lineage: Bacteria
Description: bacterial SSU rRNA
Rfam family: Bacterial small subunit ribosomal RNA
Source: RNAcentral
GACGAACGCUGGCGGCGUGCCUAAUGCAUGCAAGUCGCACGGGGUCUUCGGACCCAGUGGCGCACGGCUGAGGAGCACGUGGCUGACCUACCCCGGCGUGGGGGAUAACGGGCCGAAAGGCUCGCUAAUCCCGCAUACGAUCACUCUCACGAGUGAGGAAAGCUUCGGCGCGCUGGGCGGGGGCCGCGUCCCAUUAGGUUGUUGGUGUGGUAAUGGCGCACCAAGCCGAUGAUGGGUUCCGGGUCUGAGAGGACGACCCGGCAGACUGGGACUGAGACACGGCCCAGACUCCUACGGGGGGCAGCAGCAAGGAAUUUUCGGCAAUGGGCGCAAGCCUGACCGAGCAACGCCGCGUGGAGGAUGACGGCUUUCGGGUUGUAAACUCCUUUUGGGUGGGACGAUAAUGACGGUACCACCCGAAUCAGACCCGGCUAACUACGUGCCAGCAGCCGCAGUAAAAC